UGUAGCUUAAAUAAAAGCAUAACACUGAAGAUGUUAAUAUGGGCCCUAAUAAGCCCCAAAAGCAC
This 65-nucleotide transfer RNA is filed under the name Thyrsites atun (snoek). RNAcentral describes it as "tRNA-Phe". Lineage: Eukaryota; Metazoa; Chordata; Actinopteri; Scombriformes; Gempylidae. The record is from RNAcentral.